This is a long non-coding RNA of Mesocricetus auratus (golden hamster), 468 nucleotides long. RefSeq lists it as uncharacterized. The transcript has 2 exons. Lineage: Eukaryota; Metazoa; Chordata; Mammalia; Rodentia; Cricetidae. The record is from RefSeq and is a predicted model, not a curated record.
GGAAGGAAGGGAGGGAGGGAGAAAGGAAGGAAGGAAGGAAAGAAGGAAGGAAGGAAGAAAAUAACUCAAACUUCACCUCCAUCAUAGAACAGUGAGGAAAUUACUCCAUAGAGUCUGGCCUAAUUUAGAGAAUAUGUAUACAUCAAUGAAAGUUUUUAUUAUUGUUUUGUUUUGCUUCCAUUGAGACUUGGUCUCAUUAUGUUGACCAGGAUGGCCUCAACAUAAUGAGAUCAGCAGGGAUCCCGAUGGUGCACUACCACAACUGGCACAGAGUACCAUCUACUGAGCAUGAAGACCCUGUGUGAGCCACAUCUACAGGAUUGCUUCAAACACUGGGACCCCUAGAUACCCUACUACCAGGAAGAAUGACCCUGUGACAGCACACUCUCGUGGCUCAGUCUCUACCAAACUGUAGCUGCAGACAAGCUAAUGACAUCAAAACCCUCAUUAAAACCAAGUUACCUGUGA